RNAcentral lists this long non-coding RNA (390 nucleotides) under Rattus norvegicus (Norway rat). RNAcentral's name for it is "long non-coding RNA NONRATT029376". Lineage: Eukaryota; Metazoa; Chordata; Mammalia; Rodentia; Muridae. The record is from RNAcentral.
AUGUGCAUCGCUAUGUUGGGAAGGAGCCAAGUGGAUUAAGAUUCAACAAGCUCUUUUUGAAUGAAGAUGAUAAACCACAUAAUCCGAUGGUAAAUGCUGGAGCAAUUGUUGUGACUUCACUAAUAAAGGAUUGGUGGUGAUCCUCAGGAAAUGGGGGAAGAGGCAAAGCAAAUGUUCAAAAGGAUUAGCAGAUUGUGGAAAAAGGAGGAUUUGGACAGAAGGAGCCUGUUGCAUUAAUUCUUAACCACUAAGCUUAUAGGAAAACUCCAAUAUUUAAAAUUUUAAACAAAGCUAUAUAGGUAAAUACCUUUUUAAAAACAAAUGUAAUUUUACACUUAAAAUGCACAUAAUUAAAAGACAAGGAUUACUAUUCUUACUCGCUUUUUUCCU